UAUGAAGAACGCAGUGAAAUGCGAUAAGUAAUGUGAAUUGCAGAAUUCAGUGAAUCAUCGAAUCUUUGAACGCACCUUGCGCCCUUUGGCCAUUCCGAAGGGCAUGCCUGUUUGAGUAUCAUGAACACCUCAACUCUUCAUGGUUUUCCAUGAUGAGCUUGGACUUUGGGGGUCUUGCUGGCCUGUGGGUCGGCUCCUCUCAAAUGAAUCAGCUUGCCGGUUUUUGGUGGGCAUCACAGGUGUGAUAACUAUCUACGCUUGUGGUUUUCCACCAGGGUAACCUUCAGCAGUGGAGGUUCACUGGAGCUUACAAAUGUCUCUCCUCUGUGAGGACAGCCCUUUGAAUGUUUGAUCUCAAAUCAGGUAGGACUACCCGCUGAACUUAAGCAUAUCAAUAAGCGGAGGA
This 406-nucleotide unclassified non-coding RNA is filed under the name soil metagenome. RNAcentral's name for it is "partial contains 5.8S ribosomal RNA, internal transcribed spacer 2, and large subunit ribosomal RNA". The stretch from base 2 to 121 matches the Rfam family "5.8S ribosomal RNA", at positions 36 to 154 of the family's 154-position model. The record is from RNAcentral.